AGACGGGAACUUGAAGGUGACGCUUUCUGUUAUUCAGACCAGAUCAUCCUCUCUAGGAUUGAAGAUUGAGGACAGCUUCUCUGCAGACCUAGAAUCACUAGGUCUUUGAGAAUGUAACUCCGAUCCUUUUCUGAGGAGAACUCAGAUCAGCGUUCAUCGUGCAACACAGGGUCUCAGUGUUCCAAAGCAUUUCCCCUUCCUUUUUUGUCAAGGA
Molecule: long non-coding RNA, 214 nt
Filed under: Astyanax mexicanus (Mexican tetra)
Lineage: Eukaryota; Metazoa; Chordata; Actinopteri; Characiformes; Acestrorhamphidae
Description: lncRNA (ENSAMXG00005008123.1)
Source: RNAcentral